GACAAACAGAUCAAGUCAAGCCAUAAUUGGUGUAAAAGGAAGUUAGAAAGUAAUAACGAAGAGAGAAAAAUUUUUCUUGUAGAGGUGGAAUUUGCGCAAGAAAAGGUAGAUUAGCAUUUUUCUUAUAUUUUGAUACUUCGAAAUUAAAGAAAGAGACCGGGAUUAGAUACCCCGUUAUUUUUACUGUAAAAUCUGGGUUUCCUACCUGAGUAUUACGAGUGGGGAUUUUAGGUAUGUACCUAUAGAAUCUUUAUUUAGCUUAAAACUCAAAAAACUUGGCGGUGCCUUAUUUCUUUCCAGGGGAACCUGUCCUGUAAUCGAUAAUCCACGAUUAAGCUUACUUUUUUUUGUAAAUGUUUGUCUUCAGUUUGUAUACCGUCGUCGUCAGAUUACCUUUAAAAGACUAAAAGUUGUCGGAAAAAUAGAGUUGGAUGAAUAAAGCUGUAACUUUAAUUGGUUUAGCGGAGUGAGUCCGGUAUGUUUUGAUGUCAGAUCAAGGUGCAGCUAAUAAAAAAGAAGAGAUGGGUUACAGUAUAAAUUCAAUUUGGAUCUCAGGUUGUAAAACUUGAAUGAAAUUGGACUUGGAAGUAAUGUAAAACUUUUAUUGAAUUAGAUAGUUAAUG
This 623-nucleotide ribosomal RNA is filed under the name Microtis tuberculata. Its description in RNAcentral is "partial 12S ribosomal RNA". It matches the Rfam family "Bacterial small subunit ribosomal RNA", at positions 593 to 1379 of the family's 1533-position model. The record is from RNAcentral. Lineage: Eukaryota; Metazoa; Mollusca; Gastropoda; Trochida; Trochidae.